UACGGAGGGGGCUAGCGUUGUUCGGAAUUACUGGGCGUAAAGCGCGCGUAGGCGGACCUGCAAGUCGGGGGUGAAAGCCCGAGGCUCAACCUCGGAACUGCCUUCGAUACUGCGGGUCUCGAGUCCGGGAGAGGUGAGUGGAAUUCCUAGUGUAGAGGUGAAAUUCGUAGAUAUUAGGAAGAACACCAGUGGCGAAGGCGAGUCUCUGGACGACUCCUGACACUGAGGCACGAAAGCUGGGGGAGCAAACAGG
This 253-nucleotide ribosomal RNA is filed under the name uncultured bacterium. Its description in RNAcentral is "partial 16S ribosomal RNA". It matches the Rfam family "Bacterial small subunit ribosomal RNA", at positions 524 to 776 of the family's 1533-position model. The record is from RNAcentral.